Molecule: unclassified non-coding RNA, 153 nt
Filed under: soil metagenome
Description: partial internal transcribed spacer 1
Source: RNAcentral
CAGAGUUAUCCAACUCCCAAACCCAUGUGAACUUAUCUCUUGUUGCCUCGGCGCAAGCUACCCCGGACCUCGCGCCCCGGGCGGCCCGCCGGCGGACAAACCAAAACUCUUGUUAUCUUAGUUGAUUAUCUGAGUGUCUUAUUUAAUAAGUCA